This 1295-nucleotide long non-coding RNA is filed under the name Monodelphis domestica (gray short-tailed opossum). RNAcentral's name for it is "lncRNA (ENSMODG00000049124.1)". The record is from RNAcentral. Lineage: Eukaryota; Metazoa; Chordata; Mammalia; Didelphimorphia; Didelphidae.
GCCCCUCUGCUCAGCAACCCAUGUGAGUGUUUCCUCCCUCCCCUGUCUGGGGUAAGGUGCAGGGCUCACAUGUAGUAUGAAGGUUGCAUUUUGGGCAUUUGGUCUCUAAAAUAUUCACCAUUAUUCUCUUCACCCUAACUGCUCUUCUGUUUUGGAAUACAUACUUAGUAUCAAAUCUAAAACAGAAGGUAAGGAUUUUUAAAAUAAAUUAAUGAUUGUUGACUGAUACAUUGUUAUCAAAGUAUCUAGACAAAGUAAGUAUAUUGGGCCUAUUUAUCUUAGUACUCUGAGUUUUUAGUAUAUUCAAUAAUUUGAACUGAAUUAAUUAGAAUCACAAGAGACAAUACUGUGGAAGGGAAAUAAUAUUGGACUAAUAAUGCUAAUGGAUAGUGAUAUCUGAAGAAAUAGUCUUUGUGUUUCAGUCAUUUUAGAAGUAGCCACAAAGUUAGAAAAUAGAGUUAAGGCAUGCUAUUUAUUGACCUUAGUUAAAAUUUCCAUUUACCAACAAAGUGUGAAGAUCUAUUCCCAAUAAUCCUCAAUUAACUUCUGUCACACAUGAGAAAGUUUUUACUGCAAAUUUCUCUGAUAAAGGACUCAUUUUCUACUGGUGAAAAUUUAUAAGAAUAAGAAUCACUUUCUCAAUUGAUAUGUGGCCAAAGGAUAUGAAUAAGCAUUUCUCAAAGGAAGACAUUCAAGCAGCAUAGGAAAAAAUGCUCCAAAUCACUAAUGCAGAAAUGUAAAUUAAAGCAACUUUGAGGCCCCAUCUCCUACCCAUCAGAUUUGCAUAGAAAAGGGAAAAUGACAAAUGCUGGGGGAGGGAGGGGAAGGGAGAAGGAAAUAGGCACAGUAAUGCACUAAUUGUAGAGUUGAGAAUUAGUCUGGCCAAUCUGGAAAAUAAUUGUGUUCUGCUCCCAAAGUCACUAACUAUGUACACCUUUUGUCCCAGUCAUAGUUUCCUAGGUCUAUAUGCCAAAAAAAAAAAAAAAAAAAAAAAAAGUUGUGGUGUUUAGAUUUGGGAAAUAGGAGUCCCUUUUUAUGUAUAUAUAUAUAUAUAAACCUAGCAGAAUGAUUUAGUAAGCAUUUAACUCCCUUCUCCCUCAGCCAAAAAAAAAAUUCUUAUAUUGUGAAACUUUUGAUGCAUCUGUGCUAUUAUUAAUCGGGGGCAGUGGGGCAUUCCUUCCAGUGGUUUUGAUUAUAACCUUCCCAUGCUUUCUCAUCCUGUGUGUUUCUUGCCCAUGUAUUUAUUUCUACAUUUCCUCUGUAGAACAUCUGGCCAAGACCUUUCUCUAGAUUUU